UCGAGAAUUUUUCACAAUGGGGGAAACCCUGAUGGAGCGACGCCGCGUGGAGGACGAAGGUCUUCGGAUUGUAAACUCCUGUCAUGCGGGAACAAGAAAGUGAUAGUACCGCAAGAGGAAGAGACGGCUAACUCUGUGCCAGCAGCCGCGGUAAUACAGAGGUCUCAAGCGUUGUUCGGAUUCAUUGGGCGUAAAGGGUGCGCAGGCGGCGUGGAAAGUUGAGUGUGAAAUCCCGGGGCUCAACCUCGGAACUGCACUCAAUACUCCCAUGCUAGAGGAAUGUAGAGGAGAGUGGAAUUCACGGUGUAGCAGUGAAAUGCGUAGAUAUCGUGAGGAAGACCAGUUGCGAAGGCGACUCUCUGGGCAUUUCCUGACGCUCAUGCACGAAGGCCAGGGGAGC
This 400-nucleotide ribosomal RNA is filed under the name uncultured bacterium. RNAcentral describes it as "bacterial SSU rRNA". It matches the Rfam family "Bacterial small subunit ribosomal RNA", at positions 355 to 769 of the family's 1533-position model. The record is from RNAcentral.